This is a long non-coding RNA of Gadus morhua (Atlantic cod), 3324 nucleotides long. Lineage: Eukaryota; Metazoa; Chordata; Actinopteri; Gadiformes; Gadidae. The record is from Ensembl.
CAAAACGUCACUCUGUAUGCAUUCAUCAAGAUCUUUCAUACAGUUUUGAGCCCCUUACACCAACCAUGCUUUCUGUACUCCAAAAUGUUACAGUGCCAUCAGAAUCGAGUCAGCUGGAAAGAUCUGAACAGCACAGUAGCCAAACUGCGGCAGAGGAAGCAGGUAAUUGUUUUUAUUUUAUUUUAAAUGUUAAGCAUACUUAAAAUAUAUACUCGGAUUCAAUUGACUGUGAAAUGUAUAAAAGUAUAAAAUAUAAUUGCUUAAUGGACAUGUAGUUGAGAUUAUACUUAGAUCAUUAACACAUCAUGCACUUGACAUGGUUCCUCCAACUAUGGACAAAAUAAAUCACACCAUGGUGCCUUGUGAUCUCAUUUUGAUAAGUUAUGUGACAACACUAACUUUCAUUUAACACUUUGUUGGGACAUUGCCUACGUUUGUGAUGUGUAAACAUAUAGUGGAUUAAAGAGUUCCAGAGCAGAAAGAGAAGCCCCCAGUUAUCUCCUAUGUUGGGGGAUUUUUCCUCUGUGCUUUACCACACCUGCAUUGCUGUUGUUAGCCAAACAGUGGUGUAGCAGACAGGCAGGUUUUUUUUUGGUCUAACAUGCUGCUGCUAAAGUGUGACCACAACUGGAGCUCAAUUUGACAUAUUUGACCUAAAACCAUUACAUAUAUUGAGUAUACUUUUGCCAACACUAUUACUAAUUGCCUUUUCUUUCUCCUCUUGAAGCUGUAGUGUGCUGCAGUGAUGGGUCUGACUUUGAGUCAGACACAGUACACCAGCCUACUAAAAGAGUAGCAGCUCAAGGUUCUUCAGUAGCUCCAACAGCUAUUUCAUCUUUGAAGCGCAGUAAACAAGAAAACGUUGUCUGGAAGCUAAAGCUGGAGAAUGCAAAAGAAAAAAUUAAGUCCUUGGAGAAUGAAAGGGACUUCUUAAGGAACCAACUGUCUGAGGCUUUGGCGCUUGCAAAUAAAGAGGACCAAGUGACGGCAGCGCCCUCCUUGCACGAAAAGAGUAUUGAAAAAUCCUCUUCCUCCUCCACCUCCUCCUCCUCCUCCUCCGACAGUUCCUCCUCUUCCUCAUCAUCUUCUUCAGAAAGAGGGAAGAAGAAGAAGAAGAAGAGGAACAACAGCAACAACAAAAAAGACAGCAAGAAAAAAAAAGGGAAGAAAGGAAACAAAAAGAACACCAAGAUAGGAAAGAGAGUCCUCACCCCAGAAGAGUCCAUGGAUCGCUACAGGCGCGUCUUGGUAGCAGUGAAAAAGGGCAUGACAAAAACUGAGGCAUACGUCAAAGUCGGGGUUGACCGAAAAACGGUAGCAGCAACGGCCGCCAUUUCGGAGCUACACGCUGUUGACAAGGACCUGUAUGACCAGCUGAGGGCAUCAAUGCCCAAGGGAGAGACACUUUAUCUUUUUUCGGCAAAAUGUAACCUAGAAAUUCUUGGCAGGAACCUUCAGGAUAAGGUGAAUGAAAAAAAAAGCAACGGGGAACUUUUGCAAAUUGGACACCGGGCAUAGUAAAGAAGAGAGCAGGUUUUUGUUUUGUUUUUAGGGUGCCUUUUUUUUGUUCCAUUUUAAAAUGCCCUUUUUUUUGGUUGAUUUGUUCAGUGACAUCGAGAAAUGCCUUGUUAAAAGUGCAGCCUUUGUUUUUGUUCCCAUUUAAAAUGCCUUUUUUUGUUUCUGUUUGUGUUUUAAAUUGUUAAUAUUGUCUGUAUUACCCCGUUAUUAUGUUAUUAUUAUGUUAUAAAUGUUUAACUUAAGUGUCUGUAGUUCCCUCAUUGUCAUCAACAGUGGUUUGGCGUUUUAUAACUAACCCUAAAGUGCUUCACUGCUGGUAAACGAAUGAUUCAAAAAGCUUCACUACUGGUAAACAAAUGGUUGAAGAAGCUUAACUAAUGGUGAACGAAUGGUUCGCGAAAGAGUAACAACUCAGUAUGAUGCAUUACUUUACAUGAAGGUACACAAAAAGCUUCACUACUGGUAAACGAAUGAUUAGAAAAGCUUCGCUACUGGUAAACGAAUGGUUGAAAAAGCUUAACUACUGGUGAACGAAUGGUUCGCGAAAGAGUAACAACUCAGUAUGAUGCAUUACUUUACAUGAAGGUACACAAAAAGCUUCACUACUGGUAAACGAAUGAUUCAAAAAGCUUCGCUACUGGUAAACGAAUGGUUGAAAAAGCUUAACUACUGGUGAACGAAUGGUUCGCGAAAGAGUAACAACUCAGUAUGAUGCAUUACUUUACAUGAAGGUACACAAAAAGCUUCACUACUGGUAAACGAAUGAUUCAAAAAGCUUCGCUACUGGUAAACGAAUGAUUCAAAAAGCUUCGCUACUGGUAAACGAAUGGUUGAAAAAGCUUAACUACUGGUGAACGAAUGGUUCGCUAAAGAGUAAAAACUCAGUAUGAUGCAUUACUUUACAUGAAGGUACACAAAAAGCUUCACUACUGGUAAACGAAUGAUUCAAAAAGCUUCAAUACUGGUAAACGAAUGAUUCCAAAAGCUUCACUACUGGUAAACGAAUGAUUCCAAAAGCUUAACUACUGGUGAACAAAUGGUUCGCGAAAGAGUAACAACUCAGUAUGAUGCAUUACUUUACAUGAAGGUACACAAAAAGCUUCACUACUGGUAAACGAAUGAUUAAAAAAGCUUCGCUACUGGUAAACGAAUGGUUGAAAAAGCUUAACUACUGGUGAACGAAUGGAACGCGAAAGAGUAACAACUCAGUAUGAUGCAUUACUUUACAUGAAGGUACACAAAAAGCUUCACUACUGGUAAACGAAUGAUUCAAAAAGCUUCGCUACUGGUAAACGAAUGGUUGAAAAAGCUUAACUACUGGUGAACGAAUGGUUCGCGAAAGAGUAACAACUCAGUAUGAUGCAUUACUUUACAUGAAGGUACACAAAAAGCUUCACUGCUGGUAAACGAAUGAUUCAAAAAGCUUCGCUACUGGUAAACGAAUGGUUGAAAAAGCUUAACUACUGGUGAACGAAUGGUUCGCGAAAGAGUAACAACUCAGUAUGAUGCAUUACUUUACAUGAAGGUACACAAAAAGCUUCACUACUGGUAAACGAAUGGUUGAAAAAGCUUAACUACUGGUGAACGAAUGGUUCAAAAAGCUUAACUACUGGUGAACCAAUGGUUCGCGAAUUAGUAAAAACUCAUCAUCAGUCAGAUCCAGCUCCACCAGUCGAUCCAGUGUGGGACCCAAGCCAUCCCUCGACAGCGCUUGAAACCAAGGGCGGCAGGUUUAAAGCGUGCCCUGCAGCGGUGGACAAUUGCUUUUAAGCCUUCAGCAUUACUAAUGCCACAUAAUAAACCUUU